This 466-nucleotide ribosomal RNA is filed under the name uncultured Fusibacter sp. Its description in RNAcentral is "bacterial SSU rRNA". It matches the Rfam family "Bacterial small subunit ribosomal RNA", at positions 920 to 1378 of the family's 1533-position model. Lineage: Bacteria; Bacillati; Bacillota; Clostridia; Eubacteriales; Fusibacteraceae. The record is from RNAcentral.
ACCCGCACAAGCAGCGGAGCAUGUGGUUUAAUUCGAAGCAACGCGAAGAACCUUACCAGAUCUUGACAUCCAAUUGACCAUCUUUUAAUCGAGAUUUUGCCUUCGGGUACAAUUGAGACAGGUGGUGCAUGGUUGUCGUCAGCUCGUGUCGUGAGAUGUUGGGUUAAGUCCCGCAACGAGCGCAACCCUUGUGUUUAGUUGCAAACAGGUCAAGCUGUGCACUCUAGACAGACUGCCGUGGACAACACGGAGGAAGGUGGGGAUGACGUCAAAUCAUCAUGCCCCUUAUGACCUGGGCUACAAACGUGAUACAAUGGCUGGAACAAAGGGAUGCGAAGCAGUGAUGUGGAGCGAAACCCAUAAAGACAGUCUCAGUUCGGAUUGAAGUCUGCAACUCGACUUCAUGAAGUCGGAAUCGCUAGUAAUCGCGGAUCAGAACGCCGCGGUGAAUACGUUCUCGGGGUUU